UCGUAUGAAUUCCAAUGCUAUGAACGAAUGUGUGAAUCUCGAUAGCAUUAUGAAUGGAGAAUUAAUAAAUAUUACAUCAAUUUAAACUUUGAUGGGAAGAGGGAACUACGGCGAUGGCUGUGUCAGGACGGAACUUCGUACAGAGCUGCAUCACAAACGUCACACAAUCCGUUGUUUGAAGAGUAGGAUCGCAUUCCAUUUUCCAUGAGUACAUUUGGUGAACCGGUCGUUACAUCUACGUCAGAUCGUGGACCAAUGGUAUGCAGACCGUUUGAUCAAACUGGACAUUUCAAAAUGUCAGAACAGAACGAAAAAAUCUUAGUACUUAUAUCUAAAGGUUGGAAUGAUUUUAUUUCGAACGAAUUGAAUACGGUCCCGGUCUGCUAUAACUAUGAGCGUCAUCUAUCCUACAUUGAUCGUGCUGUAUUAUAGCUUGUGCUAUUUUGAUGUAUACCUAAGCAUAAAUUGAGAAAUUUAAAUAAAAUACGUGUCCAGUAUUUUUUUCGUGAAAGGGUAACCAAAAUACAUCCUCACAAAAUUUCGAAUUUGUAAAUUGAGUAGUUUUUUUUUAUUGCCCUUGUUGGCAGACGAGCAUACGGCCCACCUGAUGGUGAGUGGUUACCGUCGCCCAUGGACUUCAGCAAUGCCAGGGGCAGAGCCAAGCCACUGCCUACCGUUUAAUACUCUCCACAAGCCUCGUUUGAAGAAGGACAUGUCAUAGCGCUCGGGAAACACCGUGGAGGGGAGCUCAUUCCAUAGCCGGAUGGUACGUGGCAAAAAAGACCUCUGGAAACGCACUGUGGAUGACCGCAGUGGCUCCAGGUAGUAUGGGUGGUGGCGGGCGGUGCGAUGGUAAAAACGAGAUGCCGGUAUCAUCUCGAACAAUAUACGGAAUAUUUAAAAUAAAUAAUAUUAUGUUGUCAAAAUAACGGCAACAAGGAUCUGUACAUUGUCAUAUUGUUAUACAUAAUAUAUAAAUUGUACUGAGAGUAGGUGUGUGAUUGUUUAAGUUUGUUGAACUUCUUGAACCUUAGAGGAAGUUGUGAUUCGAGCACUACUUUGGGGAUGUGAUUCUAUUCAUUCAGCAGACAGAAAUCAUACAGAUCAAAGGCAGCUAACAGACCAGGAUCAUUGGAUGGUAAUGCCCCUUUGAAGUUCAAACCCGAGUUGGAGGCAAAGACAUAAAUCAAGAUGCCUUCCUACUCGCUCUGACACUUAAGCUCUCAUUAGACUAACUUAGUGGUGAAAGACUGGACUUGUAAAACUGGUGAUUAUGGAUUACAUUCACUCUUGGCGAUGAGCAUUGAAAUCUACAACCAACACAUCUAUGAAUAGAACUUUCCAACUGUUGUUACUUUGACAAUUAAAAAGCAAAAUUACAGCAUAAGCAAACUAGUAAGCAGCUAGUUUGAAGUAAAUAAUUUUGAGUAAUGCCUGUCAAACAUAAAAGCAGAGUCAACCAUCUUUAGACAGAUUUUAAUAUUUUAUGGAGUUAUUUAUUAAUGAACUAAAAACUACUCUCUUCUAAAUUUUAUUAUACGUUUUUUUACUGUUCAUAAAUCUUUUAACAAUUUGA
This is a long non-coding RNA of Bombyx mori (domestic silkworm), 1576 nucleotides long. RefSeq lists it as uncharacterized. The transcript is spliced from 3 exons. NCBI's taxonomy places the organism in Eukaryota, Metazoa, Arthropoda, Insecta, Lepidoptera, Bombycidae. The record is from RefSeq and is a predicted model, not a curated record.